This is a long non-coding RNA of Lacerta agilis (Sand lizard), 394 nucleotides long. RefSeq lists it as uncharacterized. Lineage: Eukaryota; Metazoa; Chordata; Lepidosauria; Squamata; Lacertidae. The transcript is spliced from 3 exons. The record is from RefSeq and is a predicted model, not a curated record.
UCUUAGGGUGCCUCCACAUCUGUUUUUACUGUCUUAUUUCUGAACUGUCUUGCUGCAGGCUUAGGCACAGUUGUGUGUGGAUCGCACCAGCGGGUGUUCAUGAAAUAUACUUUGUGGUUUGACGAAACUCCAUAAAUAAACCCCUCCUUGUAUUUGACUUACUGGGAUAGCCAACACUUCCGACAAGGUCAGGAACGAUCUGAAGUUCUUGAGUCUGGAAUAAUGGAUGGAUCAAAGGGUUGAGAUGUACAGCAGAAGAUGCAGCCCUGUUCAGCUGCGGCGUGAACAGGUUGAUUUCUCCGAGCCAGAUUGCAGGAGGCGAAGCUGUCUGGGUGACUUUGAACGGUGCCUAACCGUUUACGCACAUUUGCUUUCCUCUCGUCCCUCAUAUGUA